GACGAACGCUGGCGGCGUGCCUAAUACAUGCAAGUAGAACGCUGAAGGACGAGCUUGCUUCUCUGGUUGAGUUGCGAACGGGUGAGUAACGCGUAAGUAACCUGCCUGGUAGCGUGGGAUAACUACUGGAAACGAUAGCUAAUACCGCAUAAUAGUAGCUGUUGCAUGACAUUUGCUGAAAAGGUUCAAUUGCAUCACUAGCAGAUGCAGCUGCGUUGUAUUAGCUAGUUGGUGGGGUAACGGCUCACCAAGGCGACGAUACAUAGCCGACCUGAGAGGGGGAUCGGCCACACUGGGACUGAGACACGGCCCAGACUCCUACGGGAGGCAGCAGUAGGGAAUCGUCGGCAAUGGACGGAAGUCUGACCGAGAUACGCCGCGUGAGGGAAGAAGGUUUCCGGAUCGGAAAGCUCGGUUGUAAGAGAAGAACGAGUGUGAGAGUGGAAAGUUCACACUGUGACGGUAUCGUACCAGAAAGCGACGGCUAACUACGUG
Molecule: ribosomal RNA, 495 nt
Filed under: uncultured bacterium
Lineage: Bacteria
Description: partial 16S ribosomal RNA
Rfam family: Bacterial small subunit ribosomal RNA
Source: RNAcentral